UUGGAGGGCAAGUCUGGUGCCAGCAGCCGCGGUAAUUCCAGCUCCAAUAGCGUAUAUUAAAGUUGCUGCAGUUAAAAAGCUCGUAGUUGAAUUUCGGGACCAUCAUGUCGGUCGUGCCUCGGUACGUACUGGCAUUGUUGGUUUCUCCCUUCUGACGAACCAUGAUGUCAUUUAUUUGGUGUUGUGGGGAAUCAGGACUGUUACUUUGAAAAAAUUAGAGUGUUUAAAGCAGGCUCACGCUUGAAUACAUUAGCAUGGAAUAAUGAAAUAGGACGUUUGAUUCUAUUUUGUUGGUUUCUAGGAUCGACGUAAUGAUUAAUAGGGAUAGUUGGGGGCAUUAGUAUUCAAUUGUCAGAGGUGAAAUUCUUGGAUUUAUUGAAGACUAACUACUGCGAAAGCAUUUGCCAAGGAUGUUUUCAUUAAUCAAGAACGAAAGUUAGGGGAUCGAAGACGAUCAGAUACCGUCGUAGUCUUAACCAUAAACUAUGCCGACUAGGGAUCGGAUGAUGUUAAUUUCUUAAUGACUCAUUCGGCGCCUUACGGGAAAC
RNAcentral lists this ribosomal RNA (548 nucleotides) under uncultured Glomeromycotina. RNAcentral's name for it is "SSU rRNA". It matches the Rfam family "Eukaryotic small subunit ribosomal RNA", at positions 548 to 1098 of the family's 1831-position model. Lineage: Eukaryota; Fungi; Glomeromycota. The record is from RNAcentral.